This is a long non-coding RNA of Myotis davidii, 815 nucleotides long. RefSeq lists it as uncharacterized. The transcript has 3 exons. Lineage: Eukaryota; Metazoa; Chordata; Mammalia; Chiroptera; Vespertilionidae. The record is from RefSeq and is a predicted model, not a curated record.
GCAGAGGCAGCCCUGGCAGGCACCCUCUCCUGUGCGCCAUUCCGAGAGGAGAGCGGCUCCCGAGGGUUCCUACCGAAACGCCAGGCCACGGGGAGGGCUGAGGGCUGGCGUGCAGGGGGUGGAGUGCACGUGCCCGCAGGAGGCGUGGGAGAGGCCAGGACAGGCCACACUGGACCCAGAGGGCACGCUGCCGCCCACAGCCUGGCUCAGAUUCUCCCAACGUGUGUGUCCUCAGCAAACACGGCAGAUUCCACCUCCCAGAUCCAGUUAGAACCAGCCACCUCGCCUCUCCGCUCGGCCAGGCUCCGGCAGCCUCCCCUGUGACCGGCCACCGCGGCCCUUUCGCCUUCGUGGGGGCAUCGCUGGGAGGAAUCCUGAGGCCAUGGGGUGAGGACACCCUCCCACCCCACCUCCCGAUCACAGCCAGCUCCUCGCCGAGGUCUGUGAGGGCCUGUCCCGUGUCACCCGGGCCAGCCACGCUGCAGGCCCCUCGUUCUUCCGGCCUCUCUCUCCCUUUCCCGCCCGCACUGAAGACUCUCCCUCUGCUGGCAUCGGCCCCACCCCGCUUCCCAGGUUGCAGCUGCAGAUCUGGAGGGUUUUCCCUGUGGGAAGUCACCUCACCCCUCGCAAGUACCUUCCUGCGACAACCCGGGUUCUGACUGACCCACCGGCCUGUGUUCUCUUUGGCGGCGGUUUUGUUUGUUCCGUUUUAAUCCAAGCCCCCACGUCAAUGGAGAGUCUGGAUUCGAAUUUGGCUUCAUCCUCUAAGUCUCUCAGCCCCAGUGUCCUCUUAGAAAAUGAGUCUGGCCCUGGCU